AUUGCCCCAGUAACGGCGAGUGAAGCGGCAACAGCUCAAAUUUGAAAUCUGGCUCUCGGGCCCGAGUUGUAAUUUGUAGAGGAUGCUUUUGGUGAGGUGCCUUCCGAGUUCCCUGGAACGGGACGCCAUAGAGGGUGAGAGCCCCGUCUGGUUGGACACCGAUCCUCUGUAAAGCUCCUUCGACGAGUCGAGUAGUUUGGGAAUGCUGCUCUAAAUGGGAGGUAUAUGUCUUCUAAAGCUAAAUACCGGCCAGAGACCGAUAGCGCACAAGUAGAGUGAUCGAAAGAUGAAAAGAACUUUGAAAAGAGAGUUAAAAAGUACGUGAAAUUGUUGAAAGGGAAGCGCUUGUGACCAGACUUGGGCUUGGUUGAUCAUCCGGGGUUCUCCCCGGUGCACUCUUCCGGCUCAGGCCAGCAUCAGUUCGCCCUGGGGGAUAAAGGCUUCGGGAAUGUGGCUCUCUCCGGGGAGUGUUA
RNAcentral lists this ribosomal RNA (473 nucleotides) under Fusarium falciforme. RNAcentral's name for it is "partial large subunit ribosomal RNA". It matches the Rfam family "Eukaryotic large subunit ribosomal RNA", at positions 74 to 558 of the family's 3401-position model. Lineage: Eukaryota; Fungi; Ascomycota; Sordariomycetes; Hypocreales; Nectriaceae. The record is from RNAcentral.